This is a long non-coding RNA of Dioscorea cayenensis subsp. rotundata (Guinea yam), 472 nucleotides long. RefSeq lists it as uncharacterized. The record is from RefSeq and is a predicted model, not a curated record. The transcript is spliced from 2 exons. NCBI's taxonomy places the organism in Eukaryota, Viridiplantae, Streptophyta, Magnoliopsida, Dioscoreales, Dioscoreaceae.
CAGCUCAAGAUUGGCUCUUCUACCUUCCUUGUCUGUGACCAGCCUGAUGCUUCCUCCUCAGCAGUAAAAUUAGCGGAGAUGGAGAAUGGAAUUUUCUUCAGAAUGGAAACAGACGAUGUGGUAGGGGCCUUAGCAAGGGCUAUGAAAGCUGGAGCUAAGAAGGUGGGUGAGGUUAUAGAGGAAGCAUGUGUGUGCACUGGAGUGCAAGCUGGAACAGUGAUUGAUCCUUUCGGUGUUGCAUGGACCAUUACUUCCAUCUCCGGCGCUUCGUCCUCAAACAAAUGUUGCUGAUGUGAUAAUAUAUAAUCAUAUAAAACUAUUAAAUGUCCUUUGUGAUGGUUUUGUUCAAUUAUUGAUGCACUAGCUAGCGUCAUAUCACAGUUUAGGAUAAGCUUGUUGUGGUUGUCUACUUGUCUUUGGUGUUUUCUUUCUUGCUUUUAUAUAAAGAACUAGUUUGAAUGGUUUUCUUUUA